Molecule: ribosomal RNA, 482 nt
Filed under: uncultured bacterium
Lineage: Bacteria
Description: bacterial SSU rRNA
Rfam family: Bacterial small subunit ribosomal RNA
Source: RNAcentral
CGCUGGCGGCAGGCCUAACACAUGCAAGUCGAGCGGUAGCACAGAGAGCUUGCUCUCGGGUGACGAGCGGCGGACGGGUGAGUAAUGUCUGGGAAACUGCCUGAUGGAGGGGGAUAACUACUGGAAACGGUAGCUAAUACCGCAUAACGUCGCAAGACCAAAGUGGGGGACCUUCGGGCCUCAUGCCAUCAGAUGUGCCCAGAUGGGAUUAGCUAGUAGGUGGGGUAAUGGCUCACCUAGGCGACGAUCCCUAGCUGGUCUGAGAGGAUGACCAGCCACACUGGAACUGAGACACGGUCCAGACUCCUACGGGAGGCAGCAGUGGGGAAUAUUGCACAAUGGGCGCAAGCCUGAUGCAGCCAUGCCGCGUGUAUGAAGAAGGCCUUCGGGUUGUAAAGUACUUUCAGCGAGGAGGAAGGCAUUAAGGUUAAUAACCUUGGUGAUUGACGUUACUCGCAGAAGAAGCACCGGCUAACUCCGUG